Molecule: long non-coding RNA, 404 nt
Filed under: Coffea arabica (coffee)
Lineage: Eukaryota; Viridiplantae; Streptophyta; Magnoliopsida; Gentianales; Rubiaceae
Description: long non-coding RNA (CARA_LNC000401)
Source: RNAcentral
UACGGGCAAUGCCAGAUCAAGAGGCGGUGAACAGAAAGAGUUGGAGUUGGAGGUAGCUGAGGCAACUAAAGCAGCGGAACAUCACCCACCAGAGCUACUGGAGAACACGAAUGAAUGGUAACAAUGCAGUUUCAGGUACAGUAUUACAGGAUAUAGUAGUAUUAUUCCUGAGCUGCGAAUUUGAAGAUAUAAAAAGGGAGGAUCUUAAUAUUAACUAGCGAAGUUUGCAAGAGGCUUAGCACAGGAUAUUUGCUGGAUACAUGAUGAUGAUUUUCCAGUGUGGUGGCUUGUAAAGAAAGUCCUUGUCGGACAACAAGGGAUUGCUAAUCGGACAUUUGUCCAGAUUGCUCAUAAAUAUUUUACAUAUGAAAUGGAACUUUUAUCGUUGCGACCGUGGAAAAAAA